AGAAUAUUGUUUAAUAUACUUCAUACUUAAUAGUGAAGUGGAUUUCGUUGAACUUUGGAGAUUUUCGAGGGGCUGUGUCUGUCAUUCUUGUACGUUACUGUCAAUGCAUUCUCAAGAAGGAAGAGAUUAAUGAACCCUACCCUCUUACAAUGAACAACACAUGGACACUCUCCGGAUGUUCCCUUUGCUUUUAUUAAGAGUUCCAAGAUGUUGGUCUGAUUGACUGGUGUGUGAAAUGUAACAGCCAAUGGUGUACUUAAGCCCGAACUGUCAGUCCCAAUAUUCAAGAGCAAUGCAUUCUCAAGAAGGAAGAGAACUCUUCGGAUGAUCCCUUUGCUUUUAUUAAGAGUUCCAAGAUGUGGGUCUGAUUGACUGGUGUGUGAAAUGUAACAGCCAAUGGUGUACUUAAGCUGGAACUGUCAGUCCCAAUAUUCCGGAGAUGUGGGUCUGAUUGACUGGUGUGUGAAAUGUAACAGCCAAUGGUGUACUUUAGCUGGAACUGUCAGUCCCAAUAUUCAACAGGAAAAACUCCUACAUAAACAAAUACAUGGGUGCAGACAUUUUGGACACCCAAAGUUGUGCGGAGGAGAAAAUGCUGUCUGGCGCGUAAUUGGUCAAUA
Saccostrea cuccullata (small rock oyster) is the source of this 620-nucleotide long non-coding RNA. RefSeq lists it as uncharacterized. The record is from RefSeq and is a predicted model, not a curated record. Lineage: Eukaryota; Metazoa; Mollusca; Bivalvia; Ostreida; Ostreidae. The transcript has 7 exons.